UGGGAUGUAGUAUAACGGUGCAUUACCCUCGCCUGAUACGCGAGAGAACAGGGUUCAACUCCCUGCAUCCCUA
RNAcentral lists this transfer RNA (73 nucleotides) under Streptomyces phage JXY1. It matches the Rfam family "tRNA". From Rfam's summary of the family: Transfer RNA (tRNA) molecules are approximately 80 nucleotides in length. Their secondary structure includes four short double-helical elements and three loops (D, anti-codon, and T loops). RNAcentral also lists the same sequence under 1 other name. The record is from Rfam by way of RNAcentral. Lineage: Duplodnaviria; Heunggongvirae; Uroviricota; Caudoviricetes.